GGGCCGUUAGCUCAAUUGGCAGAGCAACUGACUCUUAAUCAGUAGGUUGAAGGUUCGAUUCCUUCACGGCCCACCA
Molecule: transfer RNA, 76 nt
Filed under: Desulfotignum phosphitoxidans DSM 13687
Lineage: Bacteria; Pseudomonadati; Thermodesulfobacteriota; Desulfobacteria; Desulfobacterales; Desulfobacteraceae
Also listed under: 7 other names
Description: tRNA-Lys
Rfam family: tRNA
About the family: Transfer RNA (tRNA) molecules are approximately 80 nucleotides in length. Their secondary structure includes four short double-helical elements and three loops (D, anti-codon, and T loops).
Source: RNAcentral